CCGUAAGGGAGGAAGCCACCUAAGGUAGGGUCAGCGAUUGGGGUGAAGUCGUAACAAGGUAGCCGUAGGAGAACCUGCGGCUGGAUCACCUCCUUUCUAUGGAGA
RNAcentral lists this ribosomal RNA (105 nucleotides) under Clostridium paraputrificum. RNAcentral's name for it is "partial 16S ribosomal RNA". It matches the Rfam family "Bacterial small subunit ribosomal RNA", at positions 1439 to 1533 of the family's 1533-position model. The record is from RNAcentral. Lineage: Bacteria; Bacillati; Bacillota; Clostridia; Eubacteriales; Clostridiaceae.